ACUCAAUGAUAAAACCUCAGACCAUGACACCUCAGGAAAAAAUUGAAAAAUUAAGGAAACGACAGCAAAUGCAGGCAAUGCUUGCUAUUCAGAAACAGCAGCAGCAGUUUGGUCAUCAAGUUUCCUGUAGUGAUCAGUCCAUCAGUCAAAAAUGUUCCCUAGAAAAUCAAAUUCACCAUGUUCAGGGAGCAGAUCUAGAAGUGGAGGAUCCAAGCACUCUUCCUGCAUUUGAUCCAAACUCACCAGUUGAACAUGAUGAUUCCAAUACAAUCUCUCUGGUAGUUAAUGAUUAUUCAGCAGAGGACACUGUACUCUACCAGCUUCAAGAUAUUAUUUCAAAGGUAUGCUGCUUUGUUUUUCUGAUAGAGUAAUUUGGACUUAGUUUCAAUGGCAAACCAAUGUUUUACUGCAGUUGGACGCCAGAAUUAGACUCUGUAUUCGAGAUAGCUUAUUCCGGUUGGCUCAAAGUGCAAUGCAACGGCAUUCUGGUAGUGAUACUGGCAGUACCAACAACAGUAGCAGAGAUGAGAAAGUUGUCACAAAAGAGGAAACAAGAGGUCAUAACAGGUUGAUUUAUGUGAUUCACCUCUCCUGCAUUAUGUUUUCAAACUCUACGUAUUUGAUUUCUUUUUCUUUUUAAUUUUACAAAAAGGUUCUUUUGUUGUGUUACCAUUUCCUCUUUCCUUUCAGUUGGUGGUAAAAGUAGUAGAAGAAAUUAGUUGCCAUUUCCAUUUUAAUUUUAUCUCCUAUCAGCAACACAUACUACCAUACCUCCUUUAUUUGUGCUCAUCAUAUUGGAAGACCUGUUCUGGGAGAUGGCUUAAUCUGUAUGGGAAUUUCAUAUGAUGUUUGAACAGUGAAGUAACUUUCUUCAUGUGCUCAGUUAUGUCAAUAAACAAGGGAGUGAAUGCUAGGACCAGUGGAACGUUUUCAAAAGUGACUUUUAAAGUUACAUUAGUGGGUUACUAGUCACACAGUUGAUAUAUGUUGGAAAAAAUAAUAAUAAAACAGGUUUGUUCCUCAAGUCAGGAGAUAUGUAUUAUCUAAGUAUGCAUCAAUUUGCUAUUGAUAAAGUAAUUACAGGGUUAAUAUCAUUUCCCAUAUUUAAUUUUAUGGUACAUUGCAGGAGUGCUAAUAUGUCCCAGGUGGAAACAGAGACCAAUCCCAUAGACCGAACUGUGGCCCAUUUACUGUUUCAUAGACCUUUGGAGUUGUCAGGAAGGCAUCCUGAUACCCCUGACUCACCUGCUUCCACUAAGCUACCAACUGAACAGAAAGCAUUAGGCAUGGCAAAACUGUCAAUGAGGUGCUUGCCUGAGGCUUUAAACAGCAAACGGAUCUUUUUUCACCAAGGAUCUAAAGAUCCCUGUCCUAUGGCUGAUCCCCAGCAUGUCCGUCAAUGUAAAAGCACUGUUUGCAAUGACACCUCAGAUAAUGCAUCAAACAAUGGGCUUGCAGAUGAGGGAGCCAAGGAUGUGGAAGCCUCUCAAUGACCAAAUAAGAAAGCUAUGCACUUGAGAAUUUUAUAAGGGUAAUUCCUUCCUUUUAUCUCUUCCAUGAUUAAUAUCCUGCUUGCAUUGAAAAUAUGCAUGGAUUUACUGGUAAUGUGGAUAAUUAAUUUUGUUGUCAGCCAA
RNAcentral lists this long non-coding RNA (1634 nucleotides) under Manihot esculenta (cassava). RNAcentral's name for it is "long non-coding RNA (MESC_LNC002582)". Lineage: Eukaryota; Viridiplantae; Streptophyta; Magnoliopsida; Malpighiales; Euphorbiaceae. The record is from RNAcentral.